Molecule: long non-coding RNA, 1385 nt
Organism: Carassius carassius (crucian carp)
Lineage: Eukaryota; Metazoa; Chordata; Actinopteri; Cypriniformes; Cyprinidae
Exons: 5
Source: RefSeq, a predicted model, not a curated record
AUGUUUUAUAGGCACUACUGAACAGACAUUUAGAAGUUGAUUUUAAAAUGAAAAGUAUUGAAAAUAAACAUAAAACUCUGCAAUCACUUGCAUUUUUGCAACACUGUAAGUGUGACCCAUCAGGUAAUUAAAAGUUCUACACACAUUUGUGGUCUUCAUGCUGACUUGAACACUUGGACCAAAUACAGGAAACAUGUCAUAUAAAAGUAGUUAAGUGGUCAAGUGCAAAGACUGCAAGUGCGGAUAUUUGGACAAGGCAUCUGGAGGUCUCUGGCCCGUCCAGGAGCUAAGUUUAAUAAGCUUUUUUACCCUUGUAGUUUAGGGUGUAGAUAUUGACAAAUGUAUAUCUUUCAUUUUUUUUUCCUGUUUUUUUUUUUUUCUUAGUGAUAGUCCAACAUCACCCGCAAUGAGUGUGGAAAAACCAAACUAUGUUUGGACAACCCUAAAGGAUGUGAUCCUUCAGGUAAUUCUCAGUGUUUCUUCACCUCAGUACAGAUUAUUUUAACUAUCUUAAAUCUGAAGGUUGAGCUCAGUGGCAACUCCAUCGGUUACAUUGCAUUAGCAGCUGGAGUGACAUCUAAUGUGGCUCAGAGCAUCAAUAUCAUCUUUGUCUGUGGCAAUAAUAAUGGCAGGUUCUUCUUCCGGACUGCAACACUCAUAAAUAACACACUGCUGAUAACAAAUAUACCCAAUAUAAACAAUAUGCAGGGUUCGAUACCACCAAGCUUGAUUCAGUGUGUUUUCAGCAUCCCCUUUGAUGCAAACGCCAUCAACUUCCUAAGCAAUGUCAAUGUCACAAAUGUCAACAUUAGCAACAUUGCUAAUUCCCAGCUGAAUGUUUUCCGUGACAACCUACAAGGGUUCAACCAAUGGAACUGUUCUAGGAGAACCAAGAAGUGUACUUGGGUCCUCUGUUCCAGUGAAUCUAGCUAAUGUCAACUCUACUAAUGUUGUAAGCCCCAUAGCUAAUUCAAAAGACAGCAUCUCACUCAACAGCUUACUGAGUCAUGCUGCAAUUUGCCUUCUCAGUAUCUUCUGGCAUCUGAUCUGAGGGGCCUGAGAGAGAUCUGAAGACUAAUUGUCCUGUGGGUGGAGUAGUAUAGAUAUGCACUAGCAUCAGCAUGUUUUGCUAAAGUAUUCAUACCUCUACUGGUGUCUUUCUUUAUUUGAUUCUUAGAUUAUUUGCAAACAUAUAGGAAACCCAUGUAUGUUUGACAUACAGGGUGUUGGACAUGUAAAUAAAGCCCAUAUAUUUACAUAUACAUAUAUAAAGCCCAAGCACAUGUAUAAUCCUUUUUUUUUUUAAUUGUGGUCUUUUAAUGAUCCUCUGACAUUAUACUGACAGUGGAAAUGAUCCUGAAAACUUUUUGAAGUUACAUUAAAAG